Molecule: unclassified non-coding RNA, 763 nt
Filed under: Hevea brasiliensis (rubber tree)
Lineage: Eukaryota; Viridiplantae; Streptophyta; Magnoliopsida; Malpighiales; Euphorbiaceae
Source: RNAcentral
GUUUGAUAUUUGGGUUUAUGUCAUAUAUAUGGUUAUAUAAAGUAUGAAAAGGCUUCGCUAUUACACGAGAUAUCUUAUGAAUAUAUCAGGUGUUUAUAAAGAAUUAAAUUUUGUUAUUUCUAGUUCAAUAACUUUAAUUAAUCAAAUUUAUACUUUAUAUGUCAUGAUAUACAAUUAUUGACCAUAUCAUAGCACCCCGUAUCAAUAACCCUGAAUCCUAAAAUUUAUAUAAUGAAGGAUCUGACUUCUAGAUCUGUACCUAUAUCAGAUACCGACACCAGAGUCUGAGCAACAUAGAACAUAACCAUACCAAAAAAAUUCUGGACAAAGAAUUGGAAAGGUGAAAAUUAUGCAGCUAAUCAAGAAGCAAGACAUAGUCCAUGUGCUCUCAUUGGAAAGUAGUAGCUACCGACAUUGUUCAUCUAGCAUUAUAAGUUCAUCGCACCCAUUAAGACAAGGAUAAUAUAGCCUAAGCAAGUGAAUACAUUAGAGAUAGUGUGGAUAGGUGUAUCAAAAAUGGGAAUAGAUGCUCGGUGAAUAAAGUACAACACUUAAUGGGUAAAAUAAAGUAUUUGUGCAAAACCUUCAUCAUUUCCCAUUUUAUGCGGUCUUUUUGUCUUGAUUUGGGAAAAUUGAAUGAGAACUUUCAUUUGCUAAAAACUAAUGCAUGAAAUACAUCUUUUUUAGACUAUGCUGAACUUUAUACACAUCACUGACCUGCUUCUAACCAGUUAAUAAUAAGAUAAAGGAAGUUAGCAAUUAA